AGAUUGAACGCUGGCGGCAUGCCUUACACAUGCAAGUCGAACGGUAGAGUAGCAAUACUCGAGAGUGGCGAACGGGUGAGUAAUAUAUCGGAACGUGCCCAGUCGUGGGGGAUAACGCAGCGAAAGCUGCGCUAAUACCGCAUACGAUCUAUGGAUGAAAGCGGGGGACCGUAAGGCCUCGCGCGAUUGGAGCGGCCGAUAUCAGAUUAGGUAGUUGGUGGGUAAAGGCUCACCAAGCCAACGAUCUGUAGCUGGUUUGAGAGAACGACCAGCCACACUGGGACUGAGACACGGCCCAGACUCCUACGGGAGGCAGCAGUGGGAAUUUUGGACAAUGGGCGAAAGCCUGAUCCAGCAAUGCCGCGUGCAGGAAGAAGGCCUCGGUUGUAACUAGCUUUGUUACGGAGCGAAAAGGUACUGCCCUAAUACGGACGGACCCGACUGACGGUACCGUAAGAAUAAAGACAACCGGACCUAACUAACGUA
This 486-nucleotide ribosomal RNA is filed under the name uncultured soil bacterium. RNAcentral's name for it is "bacterial SSU rRNA". It matches the Rfam family "Bacterial small subunit ribosomal RNA", at positions 26 to 519 of the family's 1533-position model. The record is from RNAcentral.